This is a long non-coding RNA of Haliotis rufescens (red abalone), 222 nucleotides long. RefSeq lists it as uncharacterized. Lineage: Eukaryota; Metazoa; Mollusca; Gastropoda; Lepetellida; Haliotidae. The transcript is spliced from 3 exons. The record is from RefSeq and is a predicted model, not a curated record.
GAUAUGAUCACUGAUGGAUAUCCUGUGACGCCCAACAUCACCUUACACCCACUAGUUUAUAUGUAUAUUUGUAUAUUCGUCAGCCUAAGAUAUGAGCACUGAUGGAUAUCCUGUGACGCCCAACAUCACCUUACACCCACUAGUUUAUAUGAUUGUAUAGUUGUAUAUGCGUCAGCCUAAGAUAUGAUCACUGAUGGAUAUCCUGUGACGCCCAACAUCACC